Molecule: long non-coding RNA, 257 nt
Organism: Carassius carassius (crucian carp)
Lineage: Eukaryota; Metazoa; Chordata; Actinopteri; Cypriniformes; Cyprinidae
Exons: 2
Source: RefSeq, a predicted model, not a curated record
UGUGUGUGUGUGUGUGUGUGUGAGAGAGAGAGAGAGAUGUUGAUGUGAAGCUGUAGUUCAGACAUUUAAAGACUAAAUGCUUUACUCAAACACCAUCAGCCGGCUGUCCUCUUAUCUCUGUUAGCACAGCCAGCGCUCUGCGUGCGUGCGUGCGCGCGUGUGUGUGUGUGUGUUUGUGUGUGUUGUGUUUUAGAAUUCAUCUGUGCUUUGGAGAGAACUGAUGGAUUGUGAUUUAAUAAAUUUAAUAGAAUUUAUCA